RNAcentral lists this ribosomal RNA (105 nucleotides) under uncultured bacterium. RNAcentral describes it as "partial 16S ribosomal RNA". It matches the Rfam family "Bacterial small subunit ribosomal RNA", at positions 1378 to 1482 of the family's 1533-position model. The record is from RNAcentral.
CCGUUGUACACGCCGCCCGUCACACCAUGGGAGCGGGUUCUGCCAGAAGUAGUUAGCCUAACCGCAAGGAGGGCGAUUACCACGGCAGGGUUCGUGACUGGGGUG